AAUUCUCAAACCUUCUUGGUUUCUUGAUCAAGAUGGCUUUGGACUUUGGAGGCAUUUGCUGGCUUUGCGAAAAGCCAGCUCCUCUUGAAUGCAUUAGUGGGGUCCCCUUUGCCGAUCCCCAGGCGUGAUAAGAUGUUUCUACGUCUUGGGAUUUGCUCUGUUCCUUGGGAACCUGCUUCUAACCGUCUCAUCGAAGACAUUGUUCGAGCUUGCUCGACCCACGAA
This 225-nucleotide unclassified non-coding RNA is filed under the name uncultured Russulaceae. Its description in RNAcentral is "sequence contains ITS2". Lineage: Eukaryota; Fungi; Basidiomycota; Agaricomycetes; Russulales; Russulaceae. The record is from RNAcentral.